This is a non-coding RNA of Dalotia coriaria, 77 nucleotides long. The record is from the annotation of a RefSeq genome assembly. NCBI's taxonomy places the organism in Eukaryota, Metazoa, Arthropoda, Insecta, Coleoptera, Staphylinidae.
GGUUUCGUAGUGUAGUGGUUACAUCCACGUCUGCUUCACACGCAGAAGGUCCCCGGUUCGAUCCCGGGGCGAAACCA